Molecule: ribosomal RNA, 484 nt
Filed under: uncultured bacterium
Lineage: Bacteria
Description: partial 16S ribosomal RNA
Rfam family: Bacterial small subunit ribosomal RNA
Source: RNAcentral
AUUGAACGCUGGCGGCAGGCCUAACACAUGCAAGUCGAGCGGAUGAAGGGAGCUCGCUCCUGGCUUCAGCUGCGGACGGGUGAGUAAUGCCUAGGAAUCUGCCUGGUAGUGGGGGCUAACGUCCGGACACGGGCGCUAAUACCGCAUACGUCCUGAGGGUGAAAGUGGGGGAUCUUCGGACCUCGCGCUAUCAGAUGAGCCUAGGUCGCAUUAGCUAGUUGGUGGGGUAAAGGCCUACCAAGGCGACGAUCCGUAACUGGUCUGAGAGGAUGAUCAGUCACACUGGAACUGAGACACGGUCCAGACUCCUACGGGAGGCAGCAGUGGGGAAUAUUGGACAAUGGGCGAAAGCCUGACCCAGCAAUGCCGCGUGUGUGAAGAAGGUCUUCGGAUUGUAAAGCACUGUAAGUUGGGAGGAAGGGCAGUAAGUUAAUACCUUGCUGUCUUGACGUUACCAACAGAAUAAGCACCGGCUAACUUCGUG